Molecule: ribosomal RNA, 1322 nt
Filed under: uncultured bacterium
Lineage: Bacteria
Description: bacterial SSU rRNA
Rfam family: Bacterial small subunit ribosomal RNA
Source: RNAcentral
GAUGAACGCUGGCGGCGUGCUUAACACAUGCAAGUCGAACGAACCUUCGGGUUAGUGGCGGACGGGUGAGUAACGCGUGAGAAUCUGCCCUCAGGAGGGGGAUAACGGUUGGAAACGACCGCUAAUACCCCAUAUGCCGAUAGGUGAAAUGAAUUUCGCCUGAGGAUGAGCUCGCGUCUGAUUAGCUUGUUGGUGAGGUAAUGGCUCACCAAGGCUUCGAUCAGUAGCUGGUCUGAGAGGAUGAUCAGCCACACUGGGACUGANACACGGCCCAGACUCCUACGGGAGGCAGCAGUGGGGAAUUUUCCGCAAUGGGCGAAAGCCUGACGGAGCAACGCCGCGUGAGGGACNAAGGCCUCUGGGCUGUAAACCUCUUUUCUCAAGGAAGAAGAUAUGACGGUACUUGAGGAAUAAGCCACGGCUAAUUCCGUGCCAGCAGCCGCGGUAAUACGGGAGUGGCAAGCGUUAUCCGGAAUUAUUGGGCGUAAAGCGUCCGCAGGCGGCCUUUCAAGUCUGCUGUUAAAGCGUGGAGCUUAACUCCAUUAUGGCAGUGGAAACUGAUCGGCUUGAGUAUGGUAGGGGCAGAGGGAAUUCCCGGUGUAGCGGUAAAAUGCGUAGAUAUCGGGAAGAACACCAGUGGCGAAGGCGCUCUGCUGGGCCAUUACUGACGCUCAUGGACGAAAGCCAGGGGAGCGAAAGGGAUUAGAUACCCCUGUAGUCCUGGCCGUAAACGAUGAACACUAGGUGUCGGGGGAAUCGACCCCUUCGGUGUCGUAGCUAACGCGUUAAGUGUUCCGCCUGGGGAGUACGCACGCAAGUGUGAAACUCAAAGGAAUUGACGGGGGCCCGCACAAGCGGUGGAGUAUGUGGUUUAAUUCGAUGCAACGCGAAGAACCUUACCAGGGUUUGACAUCCUGAGAACCUCUUAGAAAUUUGAGGGUGCCUUCGGGAAUUCAGUGACAGGUGGUGCAUGGCUGUCGUCAGCUCGUGUCGUGAGAUGUUGGGUUAAGUCCCGCAACGAGCGCAACCCACGUUUUUAGUUGCCAGCAUUUAGUUGGGCACUCUAGAAAGACCGCCGGUGAUAAACCGGAGGAAGGUGUGGAUGACGUCAAGUCAUCAUGCCCCUUACACCCUGGGCUACACACGUACUACAAUGCUACGGACAAAGGGCAGCAAACUCGCGAGAGCUAGCAAAUCCCAUAAACCGUGGCUCAGUUCAGAUCGUAGGCUGCAACUCGCCUACGUGAAGUAGGAAUCGCUAGUAAUCGCAGGUCAGCAUACUGCGGUGAAUACGUUCCCGGGCCUUGUACACACCGCCCGUC